GCUCUCUUAGCUCAGCUGGUUAGAGCGUGGGUCUAAUAAGCCCAAGGUCGCAGGUUCGAUCCCUGCAGGGAGCA
Molecule: transfer RNA, 74 nt
Filed under: Perkinsela sp. CCAP 1560/4
Lineage: Eukaryota; Euglenozoa; Kinetoplastea; Prokinetoplastida; Perkinselidae
Rfam family: tRNA
About the family: Transfer RNA (tRNA) molecules are approximately 80 nucleotides in length. Their secondary structure includes four short double-helical elements and three loops (D, anti-codon, and T loops). Further hydrogen bonds mediate the characteristic L-shaped molecular structure. tRNAs have two regions of fundamental functional importance: the anti-codon, which is responsible for specific mRNA codon recognition, and the 3' end, to which the tRNAs corresponding amino acid is attached (by aminoacyl-tRNA synthetases). tRNAs cope with the degeneracy of the genetic code in two manners: having more than one tRNA (with a specific anti-codon) for a particular amino acid; and 'wobble' base-pairing, i.e. permitting non-standard base-pairing at the 3rd anti-codon position.
Source: Rfam by way of RNAcentral